Molecule: non-coding RNA, 3598 nt
Organism: Macaca mulatta (Rhesus monkey)
Lineage: Eukaryota; Metazoa; Chordata; Mammalia; Primates; Cercopithecidae
Source: RefSeq, a predicted model, not a curated record
CGCCCGCAGCCCGUGAACUCCGAGUAGGAAGACAAACCGGAUUGCCGGAAGCGAGAGAGUCCGGACAAGCGGCGAAGGGCUCCUGUUCCCAGUCGGCUGCGCCCGCGGAGCCGCCUCGUUGCCGUUGGCCGUAAGCGGGGGCGGCAGUCCCAUCGGCCAGCGCCUCGGGCUGCGAGUGGCGCCGGGAUCGGGGGCGUCGGCUCAGCAAGCGGCUGGCGUCCGCGCCCUGCGCGUCAGGCCUGAGAACUGGAGGAAACUGGAGAAAAGAUGCCCUCUGACUCUUUCUGUUUGGCUGCCCAGGCUCGCCUUGACUCCAAAUGGUUGAAAACAGAUAUACAGUUCCGGGCCUGCGGGCAAAGGCGUGGAGGGGCUCGCCAGAGUGGGAUCCCGAGCGAUGCUGUCUUUCACCUUCGCCUUCCUGCGCAGGGCCUGGCGAUCAGGCGAGGAUGCGGACCUCUGCAGUGAGCUGUUGCAGGAGUCCCUGGAUGCCCUGGGAGCACUUCCCGAGGCCUCGCUCUUCGACGAGAGCACCGUGUCCUCUGUGUGGCUGGAGGUGGUGGAGAGAGCGACCAGGUUCCUCAGGUCUGUCGUGACUGGGUCUGGGCAGCGUCCUCCUGAACAGCCUGAAGCAGACGGUGGUGACCCUGGCCAGCAGCGCGGGCGUACUGAGCACCGUGCAGUCGGCCGCCCAGUCCGUGCUGCAGAGCGGCUGGUCCGUGCUGCUGCCCACCGCCAAGGAGCGGGCCGAGCACUCUCUGCUCUCCUGCCCUGUGCAGUUUCAGGCAAUGAUGUGAACAUAAGUCCAGGUCGUCGAUUCAUGAUUGAUCUUCUGGUGGGCAGCUUGAUGGCUGAUGGAGGGUUGGAAUCAGCCUUACACGCAGCCAUUACUGCAGAGAUCCAGGAUAUUGAAGCCAAAAAAGAAGCACAGAAGGAAAAAGAAAUUGAUGAACAGGAAGUGAAUGCCUCAACGUUUCACAGAAGCAGGACUCCAUUGGAUAAAGACCUUAUUAAUACGGGGAUCUGUGAGUCUUCUGGCAAACAGUAUUUGCCUCUGGUUCAGCUCAUGCAACAGCUUCUUAGCAGGGCAGUCUCCUUACAGGGAACUUAACGAGGCACAAAAGAAGGCUCAGGGGACAGGGAGGACUUCUGCUGGGAAAAGGCUCCUAGACCCGGUUCUGCCUCUGACUUGCUGGGGGUCCUGGAGAAAGUUGCUUCCCCUCUGUGGUCUCAGUUUCCUCAGUUCGGCAUUUUUCGCCUUCAGCUCCUCGUUGGUUAUGCUGUGACCGGAGGCCAUGGAGAAAGGAAUGAAUUAAGAACAGAAAGGACUGCUUUGGUGAUCAACCCUGUACCUUCGCCCCACAACAGAACUGUGGCAUUGGAAGGGACCCCAGGAACUAAAAGUCGCAGGUGGCAGGCCAGAGAGAAGACAUGAGUUGCCUGAGGCUACCCCAUGAGUCAGUGGCACAGCCGGCACUAGAGCUUCCCCGCGCACACAUGAAAACCUGUUUGAGCCUCUCACCAUGCUCACCUGUACCCCCACCUCCCAGCACACCCCCCACGCUGAGGGCCCCCAGACCUCCCAUUCCACCUUCCCCCAUCCUACGUGUUCCUGUACAGUUCCAGACUCAGGGCGUCCCUCUCCUUUGUUAACUCCUCGAUGUACUGCAAAUAGAGAAAGGUGAAGUCAGGAUAGAGCAGGCAGAGGAGUGGCUGGCCGACCAGGAACAACAGCCACAGUGACCACUCCACACACCACUCCCCACUCCCAGUCACACCUGACAUGCUCUCAAGGCACUUCCAAGCCCAGGAUCUCAUUUGUUUUUCUUCUUUUUCUUUUUUUCUUUUUGUUCAGAUGGAGUUUUGCUCUUGUAGCCCAGGCUGGAGUACAAUGUUGCAAUCUCACCCUACCACAACCUCCGCCUCCCAGGUUCAAGUGAUUCUCCUGCCUCAGCCGCCCAAGUAGCUGGGAUUACAGGUGUGAGCCACCACACCUGUCUCUCACUUGUUUUUCAAAGAACUCAGUAAGGGUGGAAGGGACAGGGAAAGAGAUUGAAUUGAUAGCUGGCUAACAGGGGCCCAGAGAGAUCAGAUAAGAUUGCUGCUGUUAUUACUGUUACUACUCCCACUGUCAGAACCUUUGAGUGCUUCACCAGGCACUGCACUAACCCAUUCAAUCCUCGCAACCUCCAUAGGAGACGGUUACCAUUAUUACCUCUAUUGUGUAGAUGAAAAACAUGGGGUACUGAAGGUUAAGGGGUUGUCUAAGAUCACUUAGACAGAGCUGGGCUUUCAACACCCAGGUAUAUCUGAUUCUGUAAGCCCAUUCCUUCGCUGGGGGUAGGGCACAGAUAAGGAGGAGGAAAUUAAUCCUUUGUUGACUCUUUGAAAGAAUGAUACAUUGGCGUAGUCCAAAACUCAGAAGGUACAGAAGGGAAAUACCUCCCAUACACACUGUUCCUGUCUCCUGAGUUUUUUAUGAAUCCUUACACAUAUGUUUUAGGUAUAUUAGCAUACUACGUAGCCACACACAUGUAUGUUUGUUCCCUCUUUCUACACAAAUGGUAACAUUCUAAAGAUACUCUUCUGUAUCUUCAUGGUACAAGUACACUAACCCCUGCCUAGGACUUAGCAAAGGCCACAGCCACGUCUGGGCAGGGUGGGCUCUUGGCCUUGGAGCUCUGUGUCCGGUGCUCGUUCCCCACAGCACCCUGCAGCUAACCCGCAGCAGCCGACUCAGCCCCAACCUGCCUCUAAUAUCCACACCCAAAAGCAGUACUAAAAGGUCCAUGCUGCCUUCUGGACAGGACACUGCAUUGUGCAGAGGGGACCUUUAGGGUCAUUCCUCCAUCUGUGAAACUGGGCUCCCAGGGGACCGAGCAGGUGGUUAGACUCACCCUGUCCGCCUUCUUGUGCUGUGUGGACACAGCAGACAGAGCCUGCUGUAACUCUCCUGCAAAGUGCCAGGAACGAUGCAGGCGACCGGCCAGAUCCUUGGACUCUCCUGGAAUGAGAGAGGUUGAGAUGUGGCACAAAGGACUCCCCCUAAAGGCCUGUGAAAGUGCCAGGUUGAAGGAUUACCGGGUGCCCAGAUUCCCACCUUCACAUUUCCUGGCAGCCUCCUGGCUGAAGUAGAGCCCUGUCUCCAGUUCAGUCUUCUGACUCGUAAGGAUUCGUAUAGUAUGAUCCUGGGUCUUUGGGAGAAAAGACAAGCAAGUGCUGAAAGAGAAGCAAAGAAACCUUCUCCAGAGGACAGGAGGGAACUUCACCCCCUCCACUCACCUCUAGCUCCCUCCUUAGGGCUUCCUGAUGUUGGUGGCUUGCCGCCUUUUCCUAUAGGAAGAGGAAGACAGAGCUCUUACCAGGGGGAGGCAGAGAUGGCACAGCAAGAGAUGCCCCCAGAAUGGCACCACUGCCCCAGGACAGGCCCACCCAUGGGGCCAGGUUAUCAGGGACCCUGUGGGGAUGGGGUGGAAUGUGGGGGGUGAGCCUUCAUCCCCAGUCUGGGAGUGGGCCAGGCGAGACUGGGGCCUCUACAUCUGAGUGCCCCCCAAACCCAGCAGUCAUGUGAGCAAACAAAGAAAUCAUGUUACUUCUUCCA